GACGAACGCUGGCGGCGUGCUUAACACAUGCAAGUCGAACGGAAAGGCCUGCUUUCCCUUGUGGAUUGCGGGUACUCGAGUGGCGAACGGGUGAGUAGCACGUGAGUGAUCUGCCCCCAACUUGGGUAUAAGCCUGGGAAACUGGGUCUAAUUCCCGAUAGGACUGCAGGGUGGUGCCUGUGGUGGAAAACGAUUUUCUAGUGGUUGGGGAUGAGCUCGCGGCCUAUCAGCUUGUUGGUGGGGUAAUGGCCUACCAAGGCGGCGACGGGUAGCCGGCCUGAGAGGGUGGACGGCCACAUUGGGACUGAGAUACGGCCCAGACUCCUACGGGAGGCAGCAGUGGGGAAUAUUGCACAAUGGGCGGAAGCCUGAUGCAGCGACGCCGCGUGGGGGAUGACGGCCUUCGGGUUGUAAACUCCUUUCGACCGCGAGGAAGCCACCUGGUUGGAAGGGUGGUGACGGUAGUGGUAGAAGAAGCACCGGCUAACUACGU
Molecule: ribosomal RNA, 493 nt
Filed under: uncultured bacterium
Lineage: Bacteria
Description: partial 16S ribosomal RNA
Rfam family: Bacterial small subunit ribosomal RNA
Source: RNAcentral